Molecule: ribosomal RNA, 443 nt
Filed under: uncultured bacterium
Lineage: Bacteria
Description: partial 16S ribosomal RNA
Rfam family: Bacterial small subunit ribosomal RNA
Source: RNAcentral
CCUACGGGUGGCAGCAGUGGGGAAUAUUGCACAAUGGGCGCAAGCCUGAUCCAGCAACGCCGCGUGAAGGAAGAAGGCUUUCGGGUUGUAAACUUCUUUUCUUGGGGACGAAGAAAGUGACGGUACCCAAGGAAUAAACCACGGCUAACUACGUGCCAGCCGCCGCGGUAAUACGUAGGUGGCAAGCGUUAUCCGGAUUUAUUGGGGGUAAAGGUCGUGAAGGCGGGAUUGCAAGUCUGAUGUGAAAACCACGGGCUCAACCUGGGGCCUGCAUUUGAAACUGGAGUUCUUGAGUGCGGGAGAGGGAAUCGGAAUUCCGUGUGUAGCGGUGAAAUGCGUAGAUAUACGGAGGAACACCAGUGGCGAAGGCGGAUUGCUGGACAGUAACUGACGCUGAGGCGCGAAAGCGUGGGGAGCAAACAGGAUUAGAUACCCCAGUAGUC